Molecule: unclassified non-coding RNA, 370 nt
Filed under: Artemisia juncea
Lineage: Eukaryota; Viridiplantae; Streptophyta; Magnoliopsida; Asterales; Asteraceae
Description: partial external transcribed spacer
Source: RNAcentral
UUUGGUUUGUUACGUGUGGUUGGCUGCGGCGUUUGCAACAACUUCCAUGCUUUCAGACCUCUUCAGUUGUGCGGCAAGGCUUGUAUCGCCUUGAGCGUACUGUGGGUUUUCUGUGUUGGCUACCUAAUCAACGGUAUCGGUUGGAUWGAUCAAAGUUUGAUUUCGUCUUCCGUCGCAUUCGCGGCGUGAGGUGAACCUCGAUGCGGUCUCUUUGAUCCACCUCGUUGAAGCACAUGCUUCGGCGUUGUGGCACAUUGAGCAUUGCUUGGUCUCUUGUAUACGGAACAUAUAGUGGGCAUGGAUCUAACGAUUCUCGUUUGCCCUCAUAUUAGCGUAACGCUUCUCUAACACGACUCGCNCCACGUUUUAG